AUGGUCAUGAGUUGUGUUGUUCCUACGGUCGUCGUCUUCUCCUCCACCACCUGCUCCUUCUGUGUCUGUGACUCCACAACAAGCAUGCCCUACACCUUAAUCAUCCCCUCUUCUCCUCCUGUGAUUCAGCUGAUUCUUGAAUAGACCCACUUACCCUUGACGACACAUAUUUUACCUAGCUGGCCCUUGUAAUUUCUAAACAGUCCAUAUACCUAUCUUGAUAACACACUUGUCAGUCUUGCAUGUUUUUUCCCAAUAUUACAGUAUGCAGAUCCCCAAUCCAAGGCGGAUCACUAACAGUCCCAUAGAUUCUAGUUCAUGCCAAUCCCAAUCCCAAAUCCAAUAUUCUUCCUAUCCUCUAGAAUUUAGCAUCAAGCCCCUCACAACUACUUUUGAACCCCAUGAAAACCCUUCUCUUAGUAGAAGCUGCUCUUCCGCCUCCAUUGAUACGAUGAUCUCCGACUUGUUUUCCUCGACCUCCUCGUCCUCCGCCUCCUUCGACUCACUAUUAAUGUCUGGGGACGACAUUGGCAUGGUCCUGUGUCGACGUUCUAAGUGACGAUGAUUUG
RNAcentral lists this small RNA (569 nucleotides) under Malus domestica (apple). Its description in RNAcentral is "sRNA MD08G0181400". The record is from RNAcentral. Lineage: Eukaryota; Viridiplantae; Streptophyta; Magnoliopsida; Rosales; Rosaceae.